This 3488-nucleotide unclassified non-coding RNA is filed under the name Hevea brasiliensis (rubber tree). The record is from RNAcentral. Lineage: Eukaryota; Viridiplantae; Streptophyta; Magnoliopsida; Malpighiales; Euphorbiaceae.
ACACACACACACACACACACUUUACAUAUAUCUAUGUAUGUUCAACGCAAAGAAAACCCUCAAAGCCAAAAAAAAGCCAACUCUAUGGAUUAGGGUCUCCAGGGAAAGAAGGAUACAUAAACACUCAAACAGGCAUAACAUAAUCAACCUUGAUCAGCUCUUCCUGCAUUUCUAGGAACUCCAACUUUCUUCUCCUUUCUGAGACUGAAUCUUCAGAUGGCAAAGCUGUAACUCCAACAGUGUCCACGACUUCAUCUGGAAGAGAUGAAAGUGUAGCCUGAACAGCUUCUUCUGGCUUAACUUUUCCAGAAAUAGAGAAGGCUCUGGAAAGGUCAAUAAAGAUAAAAAUUUAGAUAUGCUCCUAUGUCUUGAGAUGAAAAUGAACAUGUUAAGUAUUAAGUUACCUAGACAAAAUCAACAGAGAAGAUGGAACAGAAUGAUUCAGAGACAAAUCCAGCCAAUCACGCAGCUGCAAAGAGAAAUUAUUACUUGCAUGCCAGGACAACAUGAAGCCCUUCCUCUACCCACUAUGAGGAACACAAUAUAUCAAUCACUGCAAACCAUUGAAUUUGCUUUCUUUGGGCAUAGCAUCUUAGAAUCACAGUAAUGAGAUUCACUACCAAUAUGUCGGUAUGACCUUAAUGCGAGGCUGCUGCAUGAUGCUAGAAAUUUUAUAACCAUGAAAUUCUAUAUUUUACAGUGCUCCUUUUGCUACAAGAUAUCAAAUUGUUCUCUAUUGCCCAAUAGUAGCUUGGCUUGACACACUGGAAAUUAUCUUGUUAACCACUUAAUACUGAGUUACAAAGUAAGAGUACACUCAUGGAAAAAUUUAGUUGCCUUGAAAAAUGGAUUGACCUUUUAUUCUGAGACAACUUUACAAUCAUAAUGUCACUUUUUGUCCUUUUCUGGUAAAACAAAACUGCACAAGUCUUCUGUUAAAUCUAAGAAAGUUAUAAAAUAUACAAUUAAGCAUUAAUAACCACUAACCUGUUGCCGCAUUUCUUCAACAGAAAGCAAUCCAAGUAACCCUCGAUCUCUACAAGCGUGACGAAGCUCAGGUUCUGAAAGGGACUCCACGCCCUCAGCUUGAAUCAUCUUAUCAUCAUUCUUAAUCCUGCCAAAGCAGUUUAUAAAUUCUAUGAAGCAAAAAUUUAAUCAAUCAUUCAAAAUUUCAUGGAAUUGAUUUUUUCUGUCUUUUGCCACAUCUUUGAACUAUUAAAAUGCGACAAAAUUUUUUUUAGCUGAGAUGUAAAAGUUUAAUCAAUCACUCCAUUUUCAUGUUUGGGAUUAGGGGUUAAUUGAGAUGGGCUGAUGUCUCCAUCUUCAUAAGGCAUGAACAACCAGAUCAGCUGCAAAUAAAGAAAUUUUUUUAAUUAUUUAUGUAUGUCAUUAUUAACAUCUCUGAAUCAUUUAGAAAAUUCCGAAACAUGUUUAGUUGAGUGGUACAAAUUAAUUGAGUUGAAUAGAGUAGUAUACAUCAAACAUUUUAUACCAUUUGUUUGAAGCAAAAUUGCAAUACAUUAACCAUGUAAGACAAGUGAAUACAGAUAAUUAGAUAUACUCCUCAUGUACUGUUUCACAUAAAAAAGAAACAUUUUACAUCGAAUGGAGGAUACUGAUGGCAAAUGGCUCCUUUGUUUUUGCAGCAUUUCACUUUCCAUUUGACUUCAAGAUAGAUGUGGUCAUCGUCAUCCAGUUGUUUUGUGUGGUUAUUUGUGACUAAAUAUCACCAAUAUAACCAAAUGUUCAGAAACAUUAGCAAGCACCAAAAGAAUAUAAAUCCACAAUCCAAAAACAAGUUUUCCUUAAAUCAAGAAGCUUUUAAAAAACCUUUGCAUCAUUUGUGCAGAAAAACAUUUCUGGUUAUAAGCCACUAUCCAUCACUCGGACAAAUUUUCUGUUUCACAACAUGAGUUGAAGACCCCGUGACCAAAAAGAGACAAUCAAAAGAGAAUUUAAAGAAAUUCAUCUUACUCUUGCAGUCUCCUCCGAAGCAUAAAACGUAGAUAUGCAUCUGUUCCAUAAGGGCUGAUACCCAUAUACUUGCACAUGUUUACUAGUCGAGGCCUGCUGACGUUAUCCAAGGUAAGCUCAUCAUUAAAUAACUUGGCAAAGCCUAAAAUUUCUUCAUUGGAAACACGUGCACCUGUUCUAACCUUGUUCAUAAAUUCGUCAAGAUCUUCAGCAGUUUUCUUAGUUUCUCCACUUCUUGAGUUCUGGACUUCUUUUGCCAUUUCUUUAACAGUGUCUUGAAGAAACUUGGCAUAUUCUAUUCUAGCAUUCAACUUCCUUUUCAGUGCCUCCUGUUCUUUCAUCUUGUCCUGGAAGGUUGACGGCAACAUGUUGGGAAACAAUUUUAGGAAUACUGGUAGCAAGAAUUCCAUGAAUGGAACUAUAAUAAAAACUGCAAAAGGAACUAGCCUAAAUAUAUCAGCUGUAGUGCGUGUAAGCUGUUGCCUUUCCCUUCUAGAAAGACCCUUCCCACUGGCAAGUUUCACCAGUAACCUCGAGCUUAUCCUAACAUCAGCCCACAGUAGCUUUGUACCCAACCAAUAGUGUUGCAUCGUGGACUUAAACUCAUCCCUCCAAUGGCGAAACUUCUUAGCCCAGUCAUCCCUGCUCAUUGAAGCAACAGCUUUCAAUGCGGGACCAAUGCCCAAAAGCAUAGCCCAUAUUCUUUGCAUUAUUGAUUUAGAAAUCUUUUGUGAUUCUUGCACCUGCUUAGCUUUUGCCUUGGCCUUCACCUCACUUAAAUCUUCAACAGCUUCAUCACACUCCUCUGGUGAAGCUUCCUUCACCUGCUUGGCAACUUGUUGUUCAUUUCUGUCAUUACCACUGCCAAAUUUAGGUUGACCAGCUGUGGCAGUUGAAGAAAAACGAACAGACUGUGAAAACCACCUAAUUCCUAAAGAAGAAUCAAAAUCUGCCUUUCCAAUCCUGUAACCCAAAUUUGAAGAUCCAAUAAAAUUAUGCCUAAGAUAAGCUGCUGCUAAAUGAGUUAAAGUUUCAUCCCUAAGAACUGAAUAUAAAUCCCCUUCAUAUCUACUAUAAUUCUUUUCAGACGGGUGACUAACAAUCCAUCUUGAUCUUUCCAAGCCACUUGAUUGGGGAGGCUGCCCAUGCUCAAAACUUGAAAAGCUCCUAACCAAGCAAACUGGUUGAUUCAGGGAACUGAAGAGGGAUCUCUUCCUCCCCAAGAUUGCUCUUGAUGCCAUUAUUAUAAAUUUCAGUCUCUAAAAAGAGGAGAAUAGUGACAUAUCUGAUGCACCCACAAGACUGAGCCAGCCUCCGCUGAAAGCUCCAAUCUACAAAGAGAGAGAGAGAGAAAGAAGUGAUUUGUUUGCUCGAGGUUAUGGCGAGCGAAAGUGGUAACCGAGUCAGUCAGAGGGGGAGAGAAGAGGCUGGGCGUGUCCUUCCUUGGCAAAUGGAAAAAAUGUUCACGUAUGCGGCAGCGAGCAAAGAGAGGACUGGGGACUAUGGUUAUGAAC